UUGCAGUUAUUAGAGCGGUUACACACCACGGUUGGGUGGGGCUUGUUUUGGUUCAUCGCUGUUCACUUCAACCUGCCUGUGGUCUGGCGAUCUUACCCGACGACAUGGAAAACGUUCAACUAAAUUUCACAGUGGGGUCAUGAGAUUCAAUGCUUCUUUGUACUUACAGCGUUGUCCGAUCAUCUCAAGGAGCUUGCCGGGAUGCUGCCUUCUGUUCCUUACUUACUUCCUGAAACUACUCAUCUGUUGUCCCUCCAUGUGAAGGAGAUCUUCAGAGAUCUUCAGUCAGUGACCUGGAAGCUAGCAGCUAUUCUUCUUGCUGUAUCAGCUAUUCUUCCUUCAUUAUUUCCUGAGUGAACUGGGUAUGGGUGGAUGGGCCGGCAGGAACGCAUGCUGCAUAGAGCUGUGCACAAUCAACAUGGCAAGAAAACUAAGCAAACAAACAUGUUUAACUUUUUCUUUUAGGUUAAAUUUGUUCUGUUUUAUUAUUUGUUGAAUUUUUCAUUGUACAGUUUGUACGGUUCCUAUUUAAUUUGAUAAUAAGAAAACCAUCUUGCACCAAUUGUUUCAGAUAAUCAACGCACUGCUGUAAACAGUCCUUUUACCUCUAAUCAUAAAGA
Long non-coding RNA from Homalodisca vitripennis (glassy-winged sharpshooter), 620 nucleotides. RefSeq lists it as uncharacterized. The transcript has 3 exons. Lineage: Eukaryota; Metazoa; Arthropoda; Insecta; Hemiptera; Cicadellidae. The record is from RefSeq and is a predicted model, not a curated record.